Cucurbita moschata (crookneck pumpkin) is the source of this 3826-nucleotide RNA transcript. It is a transcript of the gene named kinesin-like protein KIN-7D, mitochondrial, with no coding region annotated. Lineage: Eukaryota; Viridiplantae; Streptophyta; Magnoliopsida; Cucurbitales; Cucurbitaceae. The record is from RefSeq and is a predicted model, not a curated record. The transcript is spliced from 27 exons.
UCUAUCUUUGUCACUGCAGCUCUUCUUUGUCUUAAAGAAGACGAAACAAUUUCUAACGCCUUCUCUCUCUAAAGUCGUCCAUGGGAGUUAGCUUAAAGCGUUGAACCAAAUUAUAGCAUAGAGAAGAAGAAGAAGAAGAAGAAGAAGAAGAAGAAGAAGAAGAACCAGAAAAAGAAUUCUCAAUGUUCUUCCAUUUUGCUUGUGGAACCAUAGUGGUCACUGACUUGCUGGAUUCAGUCGAUGGCAUCAUCGUCCAGAACGCGGAGUAGUUCGCCGUUUUCGCACCGGAAAUCUGUUUCGUCUUCUUCUUCGAGUCAAUCGCCGAGUUCUUUCACGAACGGGAAGAUGAUUCCUCGAUCUUGUUCGAGUUCAGCAUCUUCGCAUUAUGGAAUGAGCAGUGGAUUUGGUUCUAGAUCGAUGGUUAAUGGUGGUGGUUAUGGUGAUUGCUCACCGGUAGGGUUUAUUUCCGAUGAUUUGAUGUCUGAGCCUGUGGAUGAGCCGAGGAACGGGGAUAGCAUUUCUGUGACGAUUCGUUUUCGGCCUUUGAGCGAGAGGGAGUUCCUGAAAGGGGAUGAGAUUGCUUGGUAUGCGGACGGGGACAAGAUCGUACGCAAUGAGUAUAAUCCAGCCACGGCCUAUGGAUUUGAUAAGGUGUUUGGACCAGAUACGAUUUCACCGGAGGUGUAUGAAGUUGCGGCUAAGCCAGUCGUUAAGGCAGCUAUGGAGGGUGUUCAUGGAACGGUAUUUGCUUACGGUGUGACAAGCAGUGGGAAGACGCACACUAUGCAUGGAGAUCAAAACUCUCCAGGGAUCAUACCACUGGCUAUAAAAGAUGUCUUCAGCAUCAUCCAAGAUACUCCUGGAAGAGAAUUCUUGCUCCGUGUAUCUUACCUUGAAAUAUACAACGAAGUGAUAAAUGACUUGCUGGAUCCAACAGGUCAGAAUUUGCGUGUUAGGGAAGAUGCACAGGGCACCUAUGUUGAGGGUAUAAAGGAAGAAGUGGUUUUGUCUCCUGGACAUGCUUUAUCAUUUAUAGCCGCUGGAGAAGAGCAUCGUCACGUUGGAUCAAACAAUUUCAAUCUUUUUAGUAGCCGGAGUCACACCAUCUUUACGCUGAUGAUUGAAAGUAGUGCACGUGGCGAUGAGUAUGAUGGUGUCAUCUUCUCUCAACUUAACUUGAUAGAUUUAGCUGGGUCGGAGAGCUCAAAGACCGAAACUACUGGACUGAGGAGAAAGGAAGGAGCCUAUAUAAACAAAAGCCUUUUGACUCUUGGAACAGUUAUUGGGAAAUUAAGCGAGGGAAAGGCAUCCCAUGUUCCUUAUCGAGAUUCUAAGCUUACCCGUCUUCUUCAAUCCUCACUCAGUGGGCAUGGACACGUUUCACUCAUUUGCACUGUAACUCCUGCAUCCAGUAACAUGGAGGAAACUCACAAUACAUUGAAGUUUGCUAGCAGGGCCAAACGAGUUGAAAUCUAUGCCUCGCGCAAUAAGAUAAUUGAUGAAAAGUCUUUGAUAAAGAAGUAUCAGACAGAAAUUUCAAUCCUCAAGCAAGAACUUGAUCAAUUAAAGAGGGGGAUGCUGGCUGGUGUUAAUCAUGAGGAGAUAAUGAAUUUAAGGCAGCAGUUGGAAGAAGGUCAAGUGAAAAUGCAAUCAAGAUUAGAAGAAGAGGAAGAAGCUAAGGUUGCUCUCAUGAGUAGGAUUCAGAGGCUGACUAAACUCAUACUUGUCUCUUCUAAGAAUUCUAUUCCUGGAUGUUUGAGUGACGUUCCUAGUCAUCAAAGGAACAAAUCUUCUUUUGAUGAUAAGGUUGAGGUCACCCAAGGGUUACUUUCCGGAAGUGAGAAUCAAAAUGAUCUAUCUUCAAUUGUUCACUCAGAUCAGUUGAACGGUGAACUCUUACCAGCUGAUAGUACAAUCACUGGAUCAUCUAACGGCGAGAUGACAAUGUCAGAUCAGAUGGAUCUACUGGUCGAGCAAGUUAAGAUGCUUGCUGAAGAGAUUGCGUUUGAAACCAGUGCACUGAAACGUUUGAUUGAGCAAUCUGUUGAUGAUCCUGAUGGUUCUAAAGUUCAAAUCCAGAACUUAGAACAAGAAAUUCAAGAAAAAAAGAGGCAAAUGAGAGCUUUGGAACAACGAAUUAAUGAGGGUAGCGAGCCUUCAAUUUCUAGUGCAUCGAUGGUUGAAAUGCAGCAGACUGUUACAAGAUUAAUGACUCAGUGCGGUGAAAAGGAAUUUGAGCUUGAGCUCAAAAAGGCAGACAACCGUGUUCUUCAAGAGCAAUUGCAGAACAAGUGUGCAGAGAACAGAGAAUUACAGGAGAAAGUAGAACUCUUAGAGCAUCAAUUGGCUUCAGUUACUAGCAAUAAAGUGUCAACUUCAUCUGAAAAUUGUCUUCCAGAAAAAUAUGUAGAAGAAUUCAAAAAGAAGAUUCAAUCUCAGGAGAUAGAGAAUGAGAAACUGAAAUUGGAAUCAGUUCACUUUUCAGAAGAGAUCAGUGGGUUACAUGUACAGAAUCAAAAACUGGCAGAAGAAGCUUCUUACGCAAAGGAGCUAGCCUCUGCUGCUGCUGUUGAGCUGAAAAAUUUAGCAGCUGAAGUCACGAAGCUCUCCUUACAAAAUGCAAAAUUAGAAAAGGAGUUAUUGAGUGCGCGAGAAUUGGCCCACUCUAAGAAUACACAGAAUAAUCUCAGUGGAAAUCGCAAGUACAAUGAUGGUUCAAAACCUGGAAGGAAAGGAAGGCUCUCUGGCCGGUCUAUUGAUGUUUCAGCAGCAACCAGUGAUGAUUUUGAAUCUUGGAAUCUUGAUCCAGAUGACUUAAAAAUGGAACUUCACGCAAGGAAACAAAGAGAGGAGGCCCUUGAGGCUGCUUUAGCUGAAAAGGAGCUCCUAGAAGAUGAUUACCGAAAGAAAAUGGAAGAGGCAAAGAAAAGGGAAGUGUCUCUUGAAAAUGAUUUAGCCAAUAUGUGGGUACUGGUUGCCAAGUUGAAGAAAGAGGCCGGAGGUGGAGCUAUUUCAGAUGUUAAAAGUGAUGCAAGGCAGAAUUCUGGAACAGAAAAUGAUAUCGAUUCAAAGACGAAUGAUAAUGAAACAAUAGCCAUCUUUAAAGAAGAUGCUGAUCCAGUUGAUGAUUCGAAAAAAUCUGAAGAAUCCCAUGAGGAGGAACCUCUGGUUGUUCGCCUAAAGGCACGGAUGCAAGUGAUGAAGGAAAAGGAUCUAAAGUGCCUAGAAAAUGUAGAUACGAAUUCACACAUGUGUAAAGUAUGUUUUGAAUUGCCAACUGCAGCAAUUCUUCUUCCAUGUCGACAUUUUUGUUUAUGUAAAUCUUGUUCACUUGCCUGUUCUGAGUGUCCAAUCUGUCGGACAAAGAUUGUAGAUAGGCUCUUUGCAUUUACUUCUUGACAUGUUCUUCCAUGCCUGCCUUUCCCCACAAGGAAUUCAAUAUUGAAUCUACAAUGCGACGGAGGACUAGAUUCUUCUAUUUGAUUUGCUUUACAUGCAACUGUACAAAAAGAACCUUUUGCCUUGUGGAUCUCUGCCCCUGUUCAAUUCAUGCAGAUUUGGAAAAGGGUUUGUUUUUGUUUUUGUUUUCUUGCACUAUAUACCUUUAUUCUACUACUAUCUUAAUAUUUAUUCAAGGCUGUCAUUAAACGAUGUCGUUUUAUACGGACUUUCUAGAGAGAGAAAGAUAAGGAUAAAGAUAAAAGAGAGUGGAAAUUUAAGGAAUGAACAACGUAGGGCUGCAGCUGAGCUUGCAGGAAUAUUGUUGGGAAUUUCUCAAAGUAAGCAUUUAAUGCAACUUAAUAAAUGUCUGGCUUUGUUCUUUGUA